RNAcentral lists this long non-coding RNA (1581 nucleotides) under Citrus x clementina. RNAcentral's name for it is "Citrus clementina (C. clementina) long non-coding RNA (CCLE_LNC003985)". The record is from RNAcentral. Lineage: Eukaryota; Viridiplantae; Streptophyta; Magnoliopsida; Sapindales; Rutaceae.
AACCUCUAUGCUUUUCUUGAGGAAAAAAAACCAAUAAAACAAAACUCUUUACCCACAUAUAAACCCACACAUAAGCAUUGUACACUUUUUUUUUUUAAAUAACCAGAGAACUUGAUACUUUGAAGGGUUUGGGAUUAAAUUGAGUGCCAAUUUUUCAACAUUAGAGGGAGUGCCACUGCUUCAUUGACCUUAUAAAAUACUUGAUUCCAAUAGUUACAGUGAAGGACAAAAUAUAAAUUUAAAUAAUCUCUAUGCUUUUCUUAACAAUAAAAUAAAAUAAAAUAUCUCUUUCACAACACUAUUUAUCCACGUAAACGGUAAACCCACAUGAGAGUAAGGUGAGCGCUAAUUUUUCAGAAUUAUUUAAUGGACGUUGGAGGGUGCUAAUAGUCCAAGUCUGAUAAUAACAAUAGUCUUACGAAUCUGGCCCAUCAGUCUUGAGAACACAAAGGCCACUCGGUCGGCCCAUGUGGAGAAUUUUCAAAGGACUAACCAAACCAGCUUCCCAAAAAUUUGUAAUCCAAAAUUAUGGUUUUGAAAAUUUUGUACAAAUGUUGCAUCUUAAUCUUGUUCACUUAUUCCUUCUUUAGUUUUUGUAAGAACUAAGAAAUCAUUUGGAUAAACGAAAAAAAAAACUAAAAUCUCUAAAGAUUGAGUUUGUUGUACAGGUAGAUCCCUAACAUUUAUAAACUCUUGAAAUAAAAGUUAAAAAUCAAAUAAAAUUUCAGCCGCCGGGAUUUGAACCCGGAUUUCAUGUGAGUAAAAUUGCCUGAGUGCUAUGGCAGAUUUACUACUUUCUUAUUGAAGGCAUUUACAAUUUAAUUUUAUAUAAAAACUUUAGAAUCUAAUGUUGCAUCUUAAUCUUGUUGACUUAUUCCUUCUUUAGUUUUUGUACGAACUAAGAAAUCAUUUGGAUAAACGAAAAAAAAAAACUAAAAUCUCUAAAGAUUGAGUUUGUUGUACAGGUAGAUCCCUAACAUUUAUAAACUCUUGAAAUAAAAGUUAAAAAUCAAAUAAAAUUUCCGCCGACGGGAUUUGAAUCCGGAUUUCAUGUGAGUAAAAUUGCCCGAGUGCUACGGCGGAUUUACUACUUUCUUAUUGAAGUCAUUUACAAUUUAAUUUUAUAUAAAAACUUUAGAAUCUAAUGUUGCAUCUUAAUCUUGUUGACUUAUUCCUUCUUUAGUUUUUGUAAGAACUAAGAAAUCAUUAGGAUAAACGAAAAAAAAAAAACUAAAAUCUCUAAAGAUUGAGUUUGUUGUACAGGUAGAUCCCUAACAUUUAUAAACUCUUGAAAUAAAAGUUAAAAAUCAAAUAAAAGUUAAAAAUCAAAUAUAAUUUCCGCCGCCGGGAUUUGAACCCGGAUUUCAUGUGAGUAAAAUUGCCUGAGUGCUACGGCGGAUUUACUACUUUCUUAUUGAAGUCAUUUACAAUUUAAUUUUAUAUAAAAACUUUAGAAUCUAAUGUUGCAUCUUAAUCUUGUUGACUUAUUCCUUCUUUAGUUUUUGUAAGAACUAAGAAAUCAUUUGGAUAAACGAAAAAAAAAAACUAAAAUCUCUAAAGAUUGAGUUUGUUGUACAGGUA